AGGUUACAGAGAGCCGAGAUUGCACCACUGCACUCCAGCCUGAAACAGAGUGAGACUCCAUCUCAAAACAAAAGCAAACAAACAAAAAAACCCAUACAAGCAUUUCUGGGAAGCUGUGGGAAAAAAUAAGAGAUUCACAAUGUCUUCCAGAAUUUUGGCUGAGAGGUGAUGGUAUUAUAUCCCCUGUACCUCACUAUACAUUUUCUGGGAACAGAGCAGUUUUACAGAUGGUUUGGAGCUUGGGCUUAUUCCCAGCUCCUGGCAGACAGCAGUAACUUCCCCAAAUCUCCUGUCUAUAAAGUGGGCAUAACAUGUCUUUCCUCCUAGAGUUACUGUGAGGAUCAAAUGAGACAAUGUGUCCUCUAAAUGCUUGGCCACAGGGUUAGGUCAGUAAUAGUCAUCUUCAUCAGAGUGAAAAGGAAUAAACUAGUGAUUGUGCAACAACUUGGAUGAACCCCGGAGACAUGAUGCUGAGUGAGGGAAGCCAACCUCAAAUCUCAAAUGGUCACAUGCUGUGUGAUUCCAUUUAUUUGACGUUCUGGAAAAGACAAAGAUUUUGCCUGCCUGAGUUCCUCUAAUAGUGGCCACAAUUGCCAGAGAAGAUAGAGCAGGUCCCUCCCAGGACUUGCAACUCCAGCCUGUGUCUGCAGGGGGUGCUGUAGGGACUGAUUUCUCCAGCCCAUGGCACGAGGCCUUCAUCUUGUGCCUGGAAAGAGGGAAGUCCAAGUCUGUCUGGCAGAGAUGGUGCAGAUGGGCAAGUUUUUCAGACACUGCAGCCAGCACUCCUGGGACCGCAGCAGUGGAGGCUGCAGAGGGCCAGUUCCCCAGGCGUGGGCUAUUGACACUGUCACUUAUAGACUCCUCAUGCGAUAAACAACCCCUAAACAGAUUUAUCCACAGUCUCUCCAUCCUAACAAGUCAGUGAUCAGUUUUCACUUUUCCACGUUCCCUUCUGUCUCCAUUAUGUUCCCAUAGUGGGGCAGCUUCUACCUGCAUGGUUGAGCCCACACCCGGCUAAUUUUUCUAUUUUUUUUUAUAGACAGUGUCUCCCUUUGUUGCCCAGGCUGAUCUCUCCUGGGCUCAAGCGAUCCUCCUGCCUCAACCUCCCAGUAUUGGGAUUACUGGUGUGAGCCACCAUGGAGCUUGUCCUGGAGAACGUCUCACCUGGAUUCAUCUGAGUGUUGCCUUCUGGGGGUGACAUUUCAUUUGUUCCUCUGUAUCCUGCAUCCUCUGUAAAUUGGAGAGUCAUUCUAAAGUUUUGAUAAGAUCAAGUUAAGUAUUUUGGCAAGAAAGCAUCAUAGAUGAUGACGCUGUGCACAUCAGGUGACAUCACAUUUUAUAUUUAAUGGACAAAUAAAAGUUGUAUAUAUUUAUGGUGUACAACACGAUGUUUUGAAAUAUGUGUAUGUUGUGGAAUGGCUAACU
Long non-coding RNA from Rhinopithecus roxellana (golden snub-nosed monkey), 1425 nucleotides. RefSeq lists it as uncharacterized. The record is from RefSeq and is a predicted model, not a curated record. The transcript is spliced from 3 exons. Lineage: Eukaryota; Metazoa; Chordata; Mammalia; Primates; Cercopithecidae.